Long non-coding RNA from Bactrocera oleae (olive fruit fly), 1614 nucleotides. RefSeq lists it as uncharacterized. The record is from RefSeq and is a predicted model, not a curated record. Lineage: Eukaryota; Metazoa; Arthropoda; Insecta; Diptera; Tephritidae.
AAUAACAAACGUCAUUGCGGUCGGUCAACUGGGGUAUCCCGUACGUUUGGUUGAAGAAAAGAAAGGUUGUACAAAGAAAAAAUUGCAGUACAGAAAAAAUAAAAAUAAAAAUGGAAAUACCAAAAACAAAACACUCGUAGAGAGAAUAAAAAUUAGCAGAAAAAAAUGUAUAAAUACAUACAAAAACACUAAUACUCAGCCAAAGUGAAAAGCACACGACAGGACUUGAGCAGAAGCUUUAAAAAAAACACACACACUGUAUAUAUGUAUGUAGCUAUCUGCACAUGAGUGUACUACAACAAAAAUUCUGCUGGCACAUAUACUCAAAUGUCGUAUGCUUCUCAAUGUGUGUAUAUGUGUGUAAAUGGCGGUGUUCGGCUACUUCUGCUGAGGAAGAGAAAGAAGAUGAUGAUUCGACUAGAGACGCGAGAGUCACCCUUAAGAAGGGUCAAAGUGGGGGGCUGGCAAGCAAGCAUGCAGGCAGGCAGGCAACAACAUUGGGGCAGGCAAUCGAAAGGAGAAAAAAUUUUGCAAUAUAAAAAUGGAACAGCGAAUAAAUGAAACAAACCAACGAACUGACUGGAACGAAAAGGUAGAAGGAGAUAGAAAGUGCGAGCGUCGGCAAAGACGACUAGCGUCUGACUAUUGGAGCAUGGUUAAAAUUCCGCGACACCAUUGCCACACCAUAAUAUCAGCGCCCAACAACUUGGAUCGGCAUUCGAUUGUUUGUGCGAGUAUAGUAUGCCGGUCUAACCGUCUGCCAUCGAAGGUUCGUCUGUUUGCAGUCAUACAGUGAAGUGAAAUAUAAGCAAGUUAAAUAAAAACGCAGAUGCAGAAACGAACGAACUCUUCAAAAAGUCUGUAUCCCAAUACAUAUAUAUAUAUAUACACACAGGCGUACAUACGUACUACAUAAGGCUUAUACAUAUGUACGUAAGUGUGUAUAAAAACUGUGGCGAUGCUGGAAGUAAGACUUACUACCACCACACCUUAUCAAAUGGUCAAAGGACGAAUGGAAGUAUUGAUUAAUUGGAAACACGAACAUCAAUGAAUUUCAAAUAAUUUUAAUCGUUGCUAAGGGACUUCGAAGCAUAUAGUUUAAAUAACAACAAAAAAUUAAUGUCAAUAAUAUUUUUGAAGUUCUAAGAAGCACGUCAGAACAGAAAAAGCUUCUCAAGGUAGAGCAACGUCAUUACAAAAGAUAUCGCUAGGCUAGAUAAUAGAAUUUCCUUCGACUAGCCAAUUCUACAGCCUACACAAAAAAUAAACAUAAACACAAGUAUAAAAAAUAUAAUAAAACAUCCAUACAUACGAAAUAACUAAUAUUGAAACAUGGAAAUUAGUUUCGAAUGUCCUCAAACCGUUGAUCAGCAGUACAAUAAAUGGGAAAUAUCGAAGAGCACCAUAAACUAUAAUGGGAUUAAAACGAGUUAAAUAUUAUAAAUUCAAAAGAUGUUUGACAAGUACAUAAAAACAACAACCGAAUAAAUCGUGUAAAAAAUAGAUGAUCUAAUUGUAUGAUUUACAUCACUGAUUUCCUGUUUCUUCAGAAUAAAAUUUCGAAAUAAUAUAUACCACAAACUCUAACGUUUUUCCAGUAGUCAUCAGCAGGUA